GAAUAAACGAGAAAUAGAGGCGGAAUAGGAGAAGGAGCUAAGAUGUUUGUCGGGUUCCUGAAGAUGCGUCGACGUGUUAUCAUCCACGCAAGCUUCCCCAACCCAGCCAGUGUACCACAGGACGGGAGGAGGAAGCCAGCGGCUGCAUGCACCAUUGAACAGGACGGCAUUGUAUUCCUCCCACAGGAGUGACUACAGCGAAGCAAGCCCAGAAUAAAGUGUUGAGUGACCGUGAUGAUUCAGUACUACUAACACCAAACAAGUGAGGAAGUGUUCGGAGUGAACGUGCAAGACAUACAACAGACACCAGACUGCUGCCGCUGCUGCUACUGCCGGUGUAGCCAAAGGAACAAAAGGUCCGGAGCAAGAGGAAGAAAUGGGUGAUUCUUGGAAACGCACCAAUGAAGUUGUGAAGAUGUCUCGGGUGUGUCGCCUAGUGCGUUCCCUUGUCCCGCUACGAGAGAGAGCGAUUCGGAUCACCACCAUGUCGAGCUGCCUGCCACCCUCCCUCCAUUGUCCUUCCCCUCUCACUUGAGUAUUGUGAACGUUGUAUUUAUUUUCAUCACGCCUCUGUGUUUGUAAAGGGAGAGUGUUCCAAUAAGUGAGCUCUGUUUGCAGUCACAUGUGUAUUUCAAAGGUGUUUUGCCAAGUGCUGUGCUGAGGUGUUGUGGUGUAUCUGUCUAUACGGUGUUCGAGCUAGCUUUCGCCCAUGUUUGUGACGCUACCUUCCGUACUGCAUUUAAUGUCUGUGGAUUUCCCGUUUUUACCCACUCUCCUGAUAAACCUUAAAAGCGUGGUUAUGUUGGUUCAGUGUACAUUUCCCUCGUGUAACGGAGUGGUAAGUCAACCUCCCUCCACGUACAACAGUGUCGGGAAUCAUUUCCCCCGUGUCACGGUGUCAUGGGAUAUUUUCUCUUAUAUUUGUUUGCUUGUGGGCUAAUGAUACGUGUAGUGUGGCAUACUGGUGAGUGAAGCUGCAUUGCAUAACUCUCUACUCUCCAUCGUGGAUCUGUUUCCCCAUGAUUAUUACUCUUGUAUGGGUUAUCAUUGGUGCUUGUUAGUGAAGCUAUCUUUGCUUAAUAUAUGUACUAUUUUU
Molecule: long non-coding RNA, 1096 nt
Filed under: Portunus trituberculatus (swimming crab)
Lineage: Eukaryota; Metazoa; Arthropoda; Malacostraca; Decapoda; Portunidae
Description: uncharacterized LOC123503590, transcript variant X2
Source: RNAcentral